GACGAACCGUGCAAACGUUGUUCGGAAUCACUGGGCUUAAAGGGCGCGUAGGCGGUCGAUCAAGUCCGGGGUGAAAUCUUUCGGCUUAACCGGAAAAGUGCCUUGGAUACUGGUCGGCUGGAGGGAGGUAGGGGCAGGUGGAACUUCCAGUGGAGCGGUGAAAUGCGUUGAUAUUGGAAGGAACGCCGGUGGCGAAAGCGACCUGCUGGACCUCUUCUGACGCUGAGGCGCGAAAGCUAGGGGAGCAAACGGG
This 253-nucleotide ribosomal RNA is filed under the name uncultured bacterium. Its description in RNAcentral is "partial 16S ribosomal RNA". It matches the Rfam family "Bacterial small subunit ribosomal RNA", at positions 524 to 776 of the family's 1533-position model. The record is from RNAcentral.